AGGUAUGUCCCAGCUUUCUCUUCCACAGGGGCUCUGUGAUGGGGAAGGGGCUAGAGAAGCUCUGUGUGCAGAGGUAACCCACCCCUGCCAAUCAUGCGGUACAGAGGAGGCCUUUAAAAAGCAGGAAGCAGGUGGAGAAGGACACCUUGAGCCAGAAGCGGCUAGAGUGGCUCCUGAAGCAGCAGGAGGAACUCCUAUACCGGCAAUCCUCACUCCUAGCCCAAUGAGGAGUACAGAGAACUCCCAAGAGACAGAAGGGGAAAAAACACAACCAACCUUACAACUAUUUAUGAGCUGACUUGAUGAAGAUGAAAGGUGUAGGACUGAAAAGCUUUGAGCCACAGAGAAGGGUGUGCAUAGGAAUUUCUGCAAUGUCAAUAACAGGAAUAGUCAAAACGACAAUAUGAAGAGACAACAGCAUGUUUUGGUGAAGGUCAUCAGAGAACCCUGAAGAUCUGAACAAUGGAGUGAGCAGUGGAAUCAGAAAAGGUGCUUCAGUAGAUGGGGGGCGGGGUAGAGCUCCUCACUAAGUCUUUUGCUCCUUGGCCUCUUUCUAGGGUAAGUUUUUUUCCUUAAGUAAGUUCUUUUGGAAUUUAGUGACAGUCCAUGAUAGUAGCUUCUUCUUGAGUGGAGAGGGGAGUAUUCCCAUUUUCAUCUGGAGGAUGUGUUCUCCCCAAAAUUGGGUGUGGAGCUAGUUCCUUGAUUACUUUUGUCCACAUCCAGCCUGAAGAAUCAGUUUAUGGUGUGGCCAGCCAUGUGACAGAGUAUAGAGUUUACCUGCAAGACACCUAAUGUGGACAGUGUGGAUAGGGGAGAUUUUAGGUUAUCUGAUCAGAGAUGACAUCCAUAUAGAGUUUGAAGUCUCAAGAUGAUGAGUCUUGUGGACUUUUGAUCACCAUGUCAAAUAGCUUCAGUCAGCCCCUCUGGGCAUAGAGUUGUUACUCUGCCUUCAGACUGGUCCUGUCUGGGUUUGAGCUGUUUGUUAUGAUUCUUUCAGGAUUAACAAAAUAUCAAGUAUCUUUUUGCAGGCAGAAAUGAACAGAUUGAGAAUCAGCCAAAGUGUAUAUACACAGGCAACAAAUAAUGGAAAAAAUGAAAAUGAUCAUGCUCAGAUGUUAACUAUUUAAAAAUGUUUAGAAACUAACUCUGCUGCUGCCAACAGUGUGAAUUGAAUCAGGAAAAUUUAUUAGUGUUUGCAUUAUUUAUCCGCUCUUUCAUUUACAACAGGUUUAAUUAAAAUAAACCUCUGCAGUUUUUCUAAAUAUUUAUUCAGGAUACUGUUAAAUGUAAAUGUGACAUUUUGUA
This is a long non-coding RNA of Mauremys mutica (yellowpond turtle), 1305 nucleotides long. RefSeq lists it as uncharacterized. The transcript has 3 exons. NCBI's taxonomy places the organism in Eukaryota, Metazoa, Chordata, Testudines, Geoemydidae. The record is from RefSeq and is a predicted model, not a curated record.